Molecule: ribosomal RNA, 964 nt
Filed under: uncultured bacterium
Lineage: Bacteria
Description: bacterial SSU rRNA
Rfam family: Bacterial small subunit ribosomal RNA
Source: RNAcentral
AGAGUUUGAUCCUGGCUCAGGAUGAACGCUAGCUACAGGCUUAACACAUGCAAGUCGAGGGGCAGCGGGAUUGAAGCUUGCUUCAAUUGCCGGCGACCGGCGCACGGGUGAGUAACGCGUAUCCAACCUUCCGUACACUCAGGGAUAGCCUUUCGAAAGAAAGAUUAAUACCUGAUGGUAUGAUGAGAUUGCAUGAUAGCAUCAUUAAAGAUUUAUCGGUGUACGAUGGGGAUGCGUUCCAUUAGGUAGUAGGCGGGGUAACGGCCCACCUAGCCAACGAUGGAUAGGGGUUCUGAGAGGAAGGUCCCCCACAUUGGAACUGAGACACGGUCCAAACUCCUACGGGAGGCAGCAGUGAGGAAUAUUGGUCAAUGGACGAGAGUCUGAACCAGCCAAGUAGCGUGAAGGAUGAAGGUCCUACGGAUUGUAAACUUCUUUUAUAAGGGAAUAAACCCUCCCACGUGUGGGAGCUUGUAUGUACCUUAUGAAUAAGCAUCGGCUAACUCCGUGCCAGCAGCCGCGGUAAUACGGAGGAUGCGAGCGUUAUCCGGAUUUAUUGGGUUUAAAGGGAGCGCAGACGGGUCGUUAGGUCAGCUGUGAAAGUUUGGGGCUCAACCUUAAAAUUGCAGUUGAUACUGGCGUCCUUGAGUGCGGUUGAGGUGUGCGGAAUUCGUGGUGUAGCGGUGAAAUGCUUAGAUAUCACGAAGAACUCCGAUUGCGAAGGCAGCACACUAAUCCGUAACUGACGUUCAUGCUCGAAAGUGUGGGUAUCAAACAGGAUUAGAUACCCUGGUAGUCCACACGGUAAACGAUGGAUACUCGCUUUGGCGAUAUACAGUCAGCGGUUUAGCGAAAGCGGUUAAGUAUCCCACCUGGGGAGUACGCCGGCAACGGUGAAACUCAAAGGAAUUGACGGGGGCCCGCACAAGCGGAGGAACAUGUGGUUUAAUUCGAUGAUACGCGA